RNAcentral lists this transfer RNA (58 nucleotides) under Rybaxis sp. 1 EF-2015. RNAcentral's name for it is "tRNA-Ser". The record is from RNAcentral. Lineage: Eukaryota; Metazoa; Arthropoda; Insecta; Coleoptera; Staphylinidae.
GAAUUAAAAUAAUUUAAGCUUCUAACUUAAAAUUUAGCAUAAUUAUGUUAUUAGUUCU